CCGGGUGGGAGCCUCCCCAAGUGGGUGGUGGGUUGAGGACAGGGUCUGGCCUCCAUCUGUGGGGACCUGGCUUUCCAGCCGUGAGAUCUUUCAGAUUGAUAGCUCAGUCCAUAUGGAAGAAGUACCUUUGCGAGUGUGAUAAACCUGCCGCGGAGCCACUGUGGAAGGCUGCAGACGGCUCCCCGGGGGCAGCGGCAUUUCAUCACGGAGAAUUGGCAGAGGGGCCAGGUUCACUCCCUGCGUGGCAGCUGAAGUCUGGGGCACCAGGUCUGCCCACCACGGCACCCAUGGGAGUCUUCCCUCACGGCACCCCCCUGGUUGGUGGCUUCUGCUUAGAGGUGUGGGGACGUGUGCAUCUGUCAGAGGCGGGGACGAAGGCACCAGGCCAGCCACCUCCAGACCCAGGAUCUCCUGGAAUCCUCUCAAUAUCCUGGCAGGUUGGGGUUUCCACCCCAAUUUGUACUUGGAGAAAAGGAAUUUCAGAAACAUCACCUAAUCACCUUGUCUAAGGCUGAACUCUGCCUGGAAAUACCUUCCUCACUCAAAAUCUUUUAAUGCCUCCAUCAUUCCUUUGUUCAACUGAUUUUCAUCACAUGCUCUUCUGAGUGCUGAGGGCUGGGGCAGUGAAUUAGGCAGACAAGGCCCUGCCUUCAUGGACCUGGUGUUCUAGUCGGUGGGGGGCAGACCAAGCCAGUGGUUCUCAACACAGCUGGAC
This 715-nucleotide long non-coding RNA is filed under the name Rhinopithecus bieti (black snub-nosed monkey). RNAcentral's name for it is "lncRNA (ENSRBIG00000045393.1)". Lineage: Eukaryota; Metazoa; Chordata; Mammalia; Primates; Cercopithecidae. The record is from RNAcentral.